GUUUGUCCUACUGGUACCCAAGUUACAGACUUAUAUCCUGUGAGCACCUGGAUUGUUAAAAUCUGUGUGCCGAUGAAAGAAGUGACCCCUGCCACCCUGUGCUGCAGAUGGGCUUUGUUGGUGCCAGGACAGAGCUGAGAAGUGCCCCUUUGCCUUCCUGCCCUGACAGAUGUGGAAGUGGCUCGCACUUGCCAGAGUAGCUUCAGAACGACCACUGCGCAUGUGAGGGCACGUCAGUGUGCAUUGGAGCCCCUCGGCCAGGAGGACGAAUACCAUGGGCACCGAGGAGGACACUGCCGGGGGCUUCAGGGGUCUCAGGGACUCUGAGCAACUUCAGUCUGGAGUUGCUUUUAUGGGAUCAGGACCAGGGACCAGGGCUGGACUGUCCAGUCACAGGAGAGGUAAGGGGAGAGGUGUGUAGUCGGUGCUGACAGCCUGCUCCACUGAUAUCCACCUUUUCUGAUGUGUGGUAUUCCGGGUAAAGCAAUUGUCCUUUUAGUUCAAGCAAUAAAUUUUCAGGUUUGUCUGUUUAAAGGGCAGGUGGUUGGGACUGCUAUUUUUUGCCUGUGGCAAACCCGCAAUGUAAACCAAUGUGGUCUGGGCGGGAAGAAAUAAUCAAAUGCAAAGCGGAGGCUCAGGUCCCUGAAGGCCAGAGGUACACGAUGAAGUGAGCCGUAGAAUGGCCAUGGGCAGGUGUCUGCAGGAGCAGCAGGCCCAGGGUCAGGGCUAGGUCCCCAGCCUGCAGACCGCUCUCUUAUGCCUAGGCUACCCUGAUUCAUUCCGAGGUGGAGUCCAGAGCUCCCAGUGCCCUUACCAGCAUCCUGUUAAGC
This 830-nucleotide long non-coding RNA is filed under the name Heterocephalus glaber (naked mole-rat). Its description in RNAcentral is "lncRNA (ENSHGLG00100043710.1)". The record is from RNAcentral. Lineage: Eukaryota; Metazoa; Chordata; Mammalia; Rodentia; Bathyergidae.